RNAcentral lists this ribosomal RNA (253 nucleotides) under uncultured bacterium. Its description in RNAcentral is "partial 16S ribosomal RNA". It matches the Rfam family "Bacterial small subunit ribosomal RNA", at positions 524 to 776 of the family's 1533-position model. The record is from RNAcentral.
UACGGGGGGGGCAAGCGUUGUUCGGAAUUACUGGGCGUAAAGGGCUCGUAGGCGGCCAACUAAGUCAGACGUGAAAUCCCUCGGCUUAACCGGGGAACUGCGUCUGAUACUGGAUGGCUAGAGAUUGGGAGAGGGAUGCGGAAUUCCAGGUGGAGCGGUGAAAUGCGUAGAUAUCGUUUGGAACGCCAAAGGUGAAAACAGACAGCUGGGAGUGUGCUGACGCUGAGACACGAAAGCCAGGGGAGCGAACAGG